Molecule: ribosomal RNA, 160 nt
Filed under: uncultured bacterium
Lineage: Bacteria
Description: partial 16S ribosomal RNA
Rfam family: Bacterial small subunit ribosomal RNA
Source: RNAcentral
UGGGGAAUAUUGCACAAUGGGCGCAAGCCUGAUGCAGCCAUGCCGCGUGUAUGAAGAAGGCCUUCGGGUUGUAAAGUACUUUCAGCGGGGAGGAAGGUGUCGUGGUUAAUAACCACAGCAAUUGACGCUACCCGCAGAAGAAGCACCGGCUAACUCCGUG